RNAcentral lists this long non-coding RNA (295 nucleotides) under Mytilus galloprovincialis (Mediterranean mussel). Lineage: Eukaryota; Metazoa; Mollusca; Bivalvia; Mytilida; Mytilidae. The record is from RNAcentral.
UUAUAAUAUGAUGUUACAUAAAUAUUUCAAUACAACACUAUGGCACAUUUGAUGGCAGCUAGCUAUAUGUUGUGCUUCUAAUAUAUAUUAUUCAUGAAGUUGUGGUACAAAUAUACAUUAUUCCUGAGUUUGUACAGAACUUUUUCUAUCUGUUUUUAAAUAAAUAUAAUUUUAGGAUUUAAUGCUCUAAAUCCAUCUUAAAAAUGCUGCUGUAGAAGAAGCAGUUGAAUUUAUUCUGUUUGACAGGGACAGAAAUAAAAGAAAAAUAAUAAAAUAAAAGUAUUUUUAACUGUUA